Molecule: long non-coding RNA, 494 nt
Filed under: Vitis vinifera (wine grape)
Lineage: Eukaryota; Viridiplantae; Streptophyta; Magnoliopsida; Vitales; Vitaceae
Description: long non-coding RNA (VVIN_LNC003615)
Source: RNAcentral
GUUUUGUAAAUGCAUGUAUGAAGUUAAUGCAUAAGGGAUGAUGAUAAUGUAAUUGAAAUUUGAAGACCAUUUAUUCUACUAUAUUUGGAAGAGGUUUUGUAAUACAAUAGACACCUUCUUUUAUUCCUUUUUUAUCUAUUCAAAGGACCUGGUGCAGCCACAGAGAGUUAAGAAUUCUUAGAUUUUAAUGGCAGGUGGAUCUCUGGAAAGAUGAAACAGCUUUUGAGGAAGUUUUCAAGAAAGAUCAACCUUAAGGAACUGUUAGCACCUUCAACCACUGGAGCGGUAUCCAGUUAGAGCUUGUGGCCCACUCUUCUUUGAAGUUUCAAGUUACUUUCCUUCUCUGACAUAUGUUGACCAGAUUCAGUAGCUUUGGAUGCAUUUUGCUCUGGGUUCGCCCAGAUAUUCUCCUGUUGUGGCCCAUUGAUUUCUUCUCUGGAUGUUAGGCAAAUAAUGGCUAAGUUGGCAUUUUGAAAAUAAGCUAAUAGUCUCAU